Molecule: ribosomal RNA, 467 nt
Filed under: uncultured bacterium
Lineage: Bacteria
Description: partial 16S ribosomal RNA
Rfam family: Bacterial small subunit ribosomal RNA
Source: RNAcentral
GACGAACGCUGGCGGCGUGCUUAACACAUGCAAGUCGAACGGAAAGGCCCUGCUUUUGUGGGGUGCUCGAGUGGCGAACGGGUGAGUAACACGUGAGUAACCUGCCCUUGACUUUGGGAUAACUUCAGGAAACUGGGGCUAAUACCGGAUAGGAGCUCCUGCUGCAUGGUGGGGGUUGGAAAGUUUCGGCGGCUGGGGAUGGACUCGCGGCUUAUCAGCUUGUUGGUGGGGUAGUGGCUUACCAAGGCUUUGACGGGUAGCCGGCCUGAGAGGGUGACCGGCCACAUUGGGACUGAGAUACGGCCCAGACUCCUACGGGAGGCAGCAGUGGGGAAUAUUGCACAAUGGGCGGAAGCCUGAUGCAGCAACGCCGCGUGCGGGAUGACGGCCUUCGGGUUGUAAACCGCUUUCGCCUGUGACGAAGCGUGAGUGACGGUAAUGGGUAAGGAAGCACCGGCUAACUACGU